GGAGGGUGCGAGCGUUAAUCGGAAUUACUGGGCGUAAAGCGCGCGUAGGUGGCUUGAUAAGCCGGUUGUGAAAGCCCCGGGCUCAACCUGGGAACGGCACCCGGAACUGUCAAGCUAGAGUGCAGGAGAGGAAGGUAGAAUUCCCGGUGUAGCGGUGAAAUGCGUAGAGAUCGGGAGGAAUACCAGUGGCGAAGGCGGCCUUCUGGACUGACACUGACACUGAGGUGCGAAAGCGUGGGUAGCAAACAGGAUUAGAUACCCUGGUAGUCCACGCCGUAAACGAUGUCGACCAGCCGUUGGGUGCCUAGCGCACUUUGUGGCGAAGUUAACGCGAUAAGUCGACCGCCUGGGGAGU
RNAcentral lists this ribosomal RNA (355 nucleotides) under uncultured bacterium. RNAcentral describes it as "bacterial SSU rRNA". It matches the Rfam family "Bacterial small subunit ribosomal RNA", at positions 527 to 881 of the family's 1533-position model. The record is from RNAcentral.